GAGGGUAAAGCUCAGUGGUAGAGCAUUCGACUGCUAAUCGAGAGGUACUCGGUUCAAACCCGGAUGUCCUCU
This 72-nucleotide transfer RNA is filed under the name Trichonephila inaurata madagascariensis. It matches the Rfam family "tRNA". From Rfam's summary of the family: Transfer RNA (tRNA) molecules are approximately 80 nucleotides in length. Their secondary structure includes four short double-helical elements and three loops (D, anti-codon, and T loops). Further hydrogen bonds mediate the characteristic L-shaped molecular structure. tRNAs have two regions of fundamental functional importance: the anti-codon, which is responsible for specific mRNA codon recognition, and the 3' end, to which the tRNAs corresponding amino acid is attached (by aminoacyl-tRNA synthetases). tRNAs cope with the degeneracy of the genetic code in two manners: having more than one tRNA (with a specific anti-codon) for a particular amino acid; and 'wobble' base-pairing, i.e. permitting non-standard base-pairing at the 3rd anti-codon position. Lineage: Eukaryota; Metazoa; Arthropoda; Arachnida; Araneae; Nephilidae. The record is from Rfam by way of RNAcentral.